UACAGAGGGUGCAAGCGUUAAUCGGAAUUACUGGGCGUAAAGCGCGCGUAGGUGGUUUGGUAAGUCGGUUGUGAAAUCCCCGGGCUUAACCUGGGAAUUGCAGUCGAUACUGCCUGACUCGAGUGUGGGAGAGGGAAGCGGAAUUUCCGGUGUAGCGGUGAAAUGCGUAGAUAUCGGAAGGAACACCAGUGGCGAAGGCGGCUUCCUGGCCCAACACUGACACUGAGGCGCGAAAGCGUGGGUAGCGAACAGG
Molecule: ribosomal RNA, 253 nt
Filed under: uncultured bacterium
Lineage: Bacteria
Description: partial 16S ribosomal RNA
Rfam family: Bacterial small subunit ribosomal RNA
Source: RNAcentral